UAGUGUAGUGGUUAGCACAUCUACUUUACAUGCAGAAGGUCCUGGGUUCACAUCUCAG
This 58-nucleotide transfer RNA is filed under the name Pteropus alecto (black flying fox). It matches the Rfam family "tRNA", at positions 8 to 63 of the family's 71-position model. Rfam says of the family: Transfer RNA (tRNA) molecules are approximately 80 nucleotides in length. Lineage: Eukaryota; Metazoa; Chordata; Mammalia; Chiroptera; Pteropodidae. The record is from Rfam by way of RNAcentral.